GUCUAUGGCCAUGCCACCCUGAAUGUGCCAGAUCUCAUCUGAUCUCGGAAGCUAAGCAGGGUCAGGCCUGGCUAGUGCUUGGAUGGGAGACCACCUAGGAAGACCAGGCGCUGUAGGCA
RNAcentral lists this ribosomal RNA (119 nucleotides) under Pteropus alecto (black flying fox). Lineage: Eukaryota; Metazoa; Chordata; Mammalia; Chiroptera; Pteropodidae. The record is from RNAcentral.